GAUGAACGCUGGCGGCGUGCCUAACACAUGCAAGUCGAACGGAAAGGCUCCUGCUUGCAGGGGUACUCGAGUGGCGAACGGGUGAGUAACACGUGGGUGAUCUGCCCUGCACUUCGGGUUAAGCCUGGGAAACUGGGUCUAAUACCGGAUAGGACGAUGGUUUGGAUGCCAUUGUGGAAAGUUUUUUCGGUGUGGGAUGAGCUCGCGGCCUAUCAGCUUGUUGGUGGGGUAAUGGCCUACCAAGGCGUCGACGGGUAGCCGGCCUGAGAGGGUGUACGGCCACAUUGGGACUGAGAUACGGCCCAGACUCCUACGGGAGGCAGCAGUGGGGAAUAUUGCACAAUGGGCGCAAGCCUGAUGCAGCGACGCCGCGUGGGGGAUGACGGCCUUCGGGUUGUAAACUCCUUUCGCUAGGGACGAAGCGCAAGUGACGGUACCUGGAGAAGAAGCACCGGCUAACUACGUG
This 466-nucleotide ribosomal RNA is filed under the name uncultured bacterium. Its description in RNAcentral is "partial 16S ribosomal RNA". It matches the Rfam family "Bacterial small subunit ribosomal RNA", at positions 28 to 507 of the family's 1533-position model. The record is from RNAcentral.